RNAcentral lists this ribosomal RNA (253 nucleotides) under uncultured bacterium. RNAcentral describes it as "partial 16S ribosomal RNA". It matches the Rfam family "Bacterial small subunit ribosomal RNA", at positions 524 to 776 of the family's 1533-position model. The record is from RNAcentral.
UACAGAGGGGGCAAGCGUUAUUCGGAAUUACUGGGCGUAAAGGGCGCGUAGGCGGUUCUUUAAGUCGGAUGUGCAAUCCCCGAGCUCAACUUGGGAACUGCAUCCGAAACUGGGGAGCUAGAGUACUGGAGAGGGUGGUAGAAUUCCACGUGUAGCGGUGAAAUGCGUAGAGAUGUGGAGGAAUACCAGUGGCGAAGGCGGCCACCUGGACAGUAACUGACGCUGAGGCGCGAAAGUGUGGGUAGCAAACAGG